RNAcentral lists this ribosomal RNA (468 nucleotides) under uncultured bacterium. RNAcentral describes it as "partial 16S ribosomal RNA". It matches the Rfam family "Bacterial small subunit ribosomal RNA", at positions 28 to 507 of the family's 1533-position model. The record is from RNAcentral.
GACGAACGCUGGCGGCGUGCUUAACACAUGCAAGUCGAACGGAAAGGCCCUGCUUUUGCGGGGUGCUCGAGUGGCGAACGGGUGAGUAACACGUGAGUAACCUGCCCUUGACUUUGGGAUAACUUCAGGAAACUGGGGCUAAUACCCGGUAGGAGCUCCUGCUGCAUGGUGGGGGUUGGUAAGUUUCGGCGGUUGGGGAUGGACUCGCGGCUUAUCAGCUUGUUGGUGGGGUAGUGGCUUACCAAGGCUUUGACGGGUAGCCGGCCUGAGAGGGUGACCGGCCACAUUGGGACUGAGAUACGGCCCAGACUCCUACGGGAGGCAGCAGUGGGGAGUAUUGCACAAUGGGCCGGAGCCUGAUGCAGCGACGCCGCGUGCGGGAUGACGGCCUUCGGGUUGUAAACCGCUUUCGCCUGUGACGAAGCGUGAGUGACGGUAAUGGGUAAAGAAGCCCCGGCUAACUACGUG